This 492-nucleotide ribosomal RNA is filed under the name uncultured bacterium. RNAcentral's name for it is "partial 16S ribosomal RNA". It matches the Rfam family "Bacterial small subunit ribosomal RNA", at positions 29 to 507 of the family's 1533-position model. The record is from RNAcentral.
AGUGAACGCUGGCGGUGUGCCUAACACAUGCAAGUCGAACGGCCGCACAGUAAGCUCUUGCUCUUACGGUUGGCGAGUGGCGGACGGGUAAGGAAUACAUCGGAAUCUACUUUUUCGUGGGGGAUAACGUAAGGAAACUUACGCUAAUACCUCAUACGACCUACGGGUGAAAGCAGUGGAUCUUCGGACCUUGCGCGAUUGAAUGAGCCGAUGUCGGAUUAGCUAGUUGGCGGGGUAACGGCCCACCAAGGCGACGAUGCGUAGCUGGUCUGAGAGGAUGAUCAGCCACACUGGAACUGAGACACGGUCCAGACUCCUACGGGAGGCAGCAGUGGGGAAUAUUCCACAAUGGGCGAAAGCCUGACGGAGCAACACCGCGUGAGUGAAGAAGGCCUUCGGGUCGUAAAGCCCUGUUGUUGGGGAAGAAAAGCUGUAGAAGAAACCAUCGACGUUCUGACGGUACCUAAUGAGAAAGCAACGGCUAACUUCGUG